UACGAAGGGAGCUAGCGUUACUCGGAAUUACUGGGCGUAAAGCGUGCGUAGGCGGCAUGGUAAGUUGGGAGUGAAAGCCCUGGGCUCAACCUAGGAAUGGCUCUCAAAACUACCAAGCUAGAAUACUUGAGGGGAUGGCGGAAUUCCUAAUGUAGAGGUGAAAUUCGUAGAUAUUAGGAGGAACACCGGAGGCGAAGGCGGCCAUCUGGCAAGAUAUUGACGCUGUUGCACGAAAGCGUGGGGAGCAAACAGG
This 253-nucleotide ribosomal RNA is filed under the name uncultured bacterium. RNAcentral's name for it is "partial 16S ribosomal RNA". It matches the Rfam family "Bacterial small subunit ribosomal RNA", at positions 524 to 776 of the family's 1533-position model. The record is from RNAcentral.